UACGUAGGGGGCAAGCGUUUGUCCGGAGUUACUGGGCGUAAAGCGCACGCAGGCGGUCUCUUAAGUUUGGAGUGACAGUUGGUGGCUUAACUGCCAAAGUGCUUCGAAAACUGAGAGACUUGAGGGCUUCAGAGGGACACGGAAUUCCGGGUGGAGUGGUGAAAUGCGUAGAGAUCCGGAGGAACACCAAAGGCGAAGGCAGUGUCCUGGGAGUACCUGACGCUCAGGUGCGAAAGCCAGGGGAGCGAACGGG
This 253-nucleotide ribosomal RNA is filed under the name uncultured bacterium. RNAcentral describes it as "partial 16S ribosomal RNA". It matches the Rfam family "Bacterial small subunit ribosomal RNA", at positions 524 to 776 of the family's 1533-position model. The record is from RNAcentral.